This 389-nucleotide unclassified non-coding RNA is filed under the name soil metagenome. RNAcentral describes it as "partial contains 5.8S ribosomal RNA, internal transcribed spacer 2, and large subunit ribosomal RNA". The stretch from base 1 to 121 matches the Rfam family "5.8S ribosomal RNA", at positions 35 to 154 of the family's 154-position model. The record is from RNAcentral.
GAUGAAGAACGCAGCGAAAUGCGAUAAGUAAUGCGAAUUGCAGAAUUCCAGUGAGUCAUCGAAUCUUUGAACGCACAUUGCGCCCUUUGGUAUUCCGAAGGGCAUGCCUGUUCGAGCGUCAUUAUCACCCCUCGAGCCCCCUGUGGCUUGGCUUUGGACGGUCUGGUUAGGCGACUGACCCCUCCUAAAGACAAUGACGGCGGCCUCGCAGGACCCCCGGUACACUGAGCUUCUUAACUGAGCACGUAUCGGAAUGAGGGUUCUCGGGACACGGUCUCCUUUUCCCCCCUCCCUCCCGGGGGCGGUGGGAAAAAAAAAAAAAUUUUUCUAAGGUUGACCUCGGAUCAGGUAGGGAUACCCGCUGAACUUAAGCAUAUCAAUAAGCAGGA